AGAGUUUGAUCCUGGCUCAGGGUGAACGCUAGCGGCGCGCCUUAGGCAUGCAAGUCGAACGUUCCCCGCUCUUUUUGGGUUUAAGCUAACCUUGCCGGGUUUGGUUUGAGCUUAAAAAGAGCGGGGGAGUGGCGGACGGGUGAGUAACGCGUGAGAACGUACCUUCUAGUGAGGAAUAACCUGCCGAAAGGUGGGCUAAUACCGCAUGUGAUGCUGAGAGCAAUCGAAGUAUGAAAGGGUGUAACUACCCGCUAGAAGAGCGGCUCGCGUCCCAUCAGCUUGUUGGUAAGGUAAUGGCUUACCAAGGCAACGACGGGUAGCUGGACUGAGAGGUUGACCAGCCACAAGAGCACUGAGACACGGGCUCUACUCCUACGGGAGGCAGCAACCGGGAAUCGUAGACAAUGGGCGAAAGCCUGAUCUCGCGACGCCGCGUGGAGGAUGAAGGCCUUCGGGUUGUAAACUCCUUUUAUAAGGGAAUAAGCCUCGCUUUGGCGGGGUUGACUGUACCUUACGAAUAAGCCGCUGCUAACUGCGUGCCAGCAGCCGCGGUGAAACGUAGGCGGCAAGCGUUACCCGGAUUUACUGGGCGUAAAGAGUGCGCAGGUGGUGAAGUAAGUUUUCGUUAAAAUACACAGGCUCAACCUGUGGAGCGCGGAAAUACUGCAUUACUUGAGAAAGUCAGGGGGUACCGGAACAGAUGGUGGAGUAGUGAAAUGCGUUGAUAUCAUCUGGAACACCCAAGGCGAAGGCAGGUACCUGGGGCUUUUCUGACACUGAUGCACGAAAGCGUGGGGAGCGAAGCGGAUUAGAUACCCGCGUAGUCCACGCCGUAAACGUUGGACACUAGAUAUCGGGCUGGUGACGGUUCGGUGUCGUAAGCUAACGCGUUAAGUGUCCCGCCUGGGGAGUACGGCCGCAAGGCUAAAACUCAAAGGAAUUGACGGGGACCCGCACAAGCAGGGGAACGUGUGGUUUAAUUCGAGACAGAACGAAGAACCUUACCAGGGUUUGACAUGUAUGUGGUAGGAACCCGAAAGGGCAACAACCUGCAAAGGAGCAUACACAGGUGCUGCAUGGCUGUCGUCAGCUCGUGCCGUGAGGUGUACCCUUAAGUGGGGUAACGAGCGCAACCCCUACAGUUAGUUGUAUCACUCUAGCUGGACUGCCCCCGUAAAACGGGGGAGGAAGGAGGGGACGACGUCAAGUCAUCAUAGCCCUUAUGUCCUGGGCUACACACACGUUACAAUGGACGUUUAACAACGGGUUACAACUUCGCGAGAAGAAGUGAAUCUCUGAAAAGCGUCCUCAGUUGGGAUUGGACUCUGCAAUUCGAGCCCAUGAACGAGGACUUGCUAGUAAUCGCAGGUCAGCAUACUGCGGUGAAUACGUUCUCGGGUCUUGUACACACCGCCCGUCAAGUGAGCAAAGUCGGGGGUAGCUGAAGUGCCAGCUUGUCUGGUCCGAGGCUAAAUUCGGCGAUGAGCGCUAAGUCGUAACAAGGUAACC
Molecule: ribosomal RNA, 1509 nt
Filed under: uncultured bacterium
Lineage: Bacteria
Description: bacterial SSU rRNA
Rfam family: Bacterial small subunit ribosomal RNA
Source: RNAcentral